GAUGAACGCUGGCGGCGUGCCUAAUACAUGCAAGUCGAGCGAACGGACGAGAAGCUUGCUUCUCUGAUGUUAGCGGCGGACGGGUGAGUAACACGUGGAUAACCUACCUAUAAGACUGGGAUAACUUCGGGAAACCGGAGCUAAUACCGGAUAAUAUUUUGAACCGCAUGGUUCAAAAGUGAAAGACGGUCUUGCUGUCACUUAUAGAUGGAUCCGCGCUGCAUUAGCUAGUUGGUAAGGUAACGGCUUACCAAGGCAACGAUGCAUAGCCGACCUGAGAGGGUGAUCGGCCACACUGGAACUGAGACACGGUCCAGACUCCUACGGGAGUCAGCAGUAGGGAAUCUUCCGCAAUGGGCGAAAGCCUGACGGAGCAACGCCGCGUGAGUGAUGAAGGUCUUCGGACCGUAAAACUCUGUUAUUAGGGAAGAACAUAUGUGUAAGUAACUGCGCACAUCUUGACGGUACCUAAUCAGAAAGCCACGGCUAACUACGUG
RNAcentral lists this ribosomal RNA (497 nucleotides) under uncultured bacterium. RNAcentral describes it as "partial 16S ribosomal RNA". It matches the Rfam family "Bacterial small subunit ribosomal RNA", at positions 28 to 507 of the family's 1533-position model. The record is from RNAcentral.